AUGUCUCCCCGGAGGAAGGAGAGGCGCGUGGUAGCCGUGGCCGGCGCCGCGGCGCUCGUUGCCGUCGGCCUCAACCUCGCCUUCUCCGCCGUCGCCGCCCACCGCCGGAGGAAGCGGCAAGAGCUUCCAGGGUUUAGUGCGCAGGUCAACCUCUCAGCAGCCGAAAUCAAGAGAUUGGCUGACCGGAUUAUUGCUAAGUCAAAGGAAACAUAUGAUGCCGUGGCCGCAGUUCCCCUAGAUAAGGUCAACUUCGCUAAUGCAAUUGCACCGUUGGCAGAAUUAGAUGCUCAGCAGUUUCCUCUGGUUCAAGCUUGUGUGCUCCCAAGGAUGGUGUCACCAUCCGAAGAUAUAUGCAGGGCAAGUGCUGAAGCAGAAAAGCGAUUGGAUUCCCACUUUCUGCUGUGCAGGCAGCGUGAAGAUGUGUACCGUGUUGUAAAGGCUUUCACGGAGAGAGAUGAAAGAAUAGGUCCAGAAGCAACAAGAUUUGUCCAGUGCCUGGUAAGAGAGUUUGAACGCAACGGAGCAAAACUAACCCAAACCAAGAAGAAAGAAAUGGAGAAGUUGAAAUCUCUCAUCGAUGACUUAAAUUUGAAGUAUAUUCAAAACAUGAAUGAUUUCACCAAAUUUCUUCUAUUAAGCGAGGAAGAGUUAGCUGGAAUGCCUCUUGAGUUUUUAAAGGAUCUGGAAGAAACAGAUGGAAAGCGCAAGGUUCUGUUGACAGGUUACCAUGUCACUCCAAUUCUUGAGCAUUGCAAGGUUGGCUCUACCAGGAAGCAGAUCGCUGUUGCUUAUGGCCAGAAAGGUGGAAAACAGAACGUAGCCAUCCUAGAAAAAUUGGUUCAGAUAAGACACAGGCUUGCGAGAUUGCUUGGGUACUCCAACUAUUCUGAUUUUGCUAUUGAACCAAGAAUGGCAAUGACAUCGAGGAAGGUGUUAGAAUUUUUGGAGGAAAUGUCAGAACAGUUAAGUGAUCUAGCUAAUAGAGAGCUGACCGUACUCAAAGAACUGAAGAUGAAGGAGGAAGGAGAUGCUCAAUUUGGCAUGGAAGAUUUAUUAUACUACAUGAAAAGAGGCGAACAGCACAAGGUUGAUCUUGACAUUGGUGAAAUUAAGCGAUAUUUCCCUGUUAAGCUGGUCAUAUCAGGAAUGCUUAAGAUGUUCCAGGAUCUAUUUGCGCUACGAUUUGAAGAAAUUAAGGAUGUGGAGGUUUGGCAUGAUACAGUUCGUCUCUUCUCUGUUUGGGAUGCAAGUUCAAGUGAUCUUUUGGGUUACUUUUUUCUUGAUAUCUUUUCCAGGGAAGGAAAAUAUGACCACACCUGUGUUGUGGCACUUCAGAAUGGAUGCAUGUGUUCUAAUGGUUCACGUAAGGUUCCGGUUGCAGUCUUAUUAUCUCAAUGUCCGAAAGAGUUUGAUGGGAAUUCAGCAUUGCUACGGUUCCCUGAAGUUGUGAGGAUAUUUCAUGAAUUCAGUCACGUGGUUCAUCAUAUAUCGAACAGGGCCACCUUUUCUAGAUUUUCAAGUCUCCGUCUGGAGGGGGACUUUGCUGAAAUUCCAAGCCUGUUACUCGAGAACUGGUGUUACGAGAGCAUUUCCCUAAAAAUGAUGUCCGGCUUCUAUCAGGACAUCACAAAGUCUGUCACUACUGAAGCUUGCCAGUCACUGAAAAGAAGGCGGGACAUGUUUGCUGGCCUGAAACUGAAGCAAGAGAUCCUUUUGUGCCUUGUUGAUCAGAUAAUACAUACAAGCGAGAAUGUGGACAUCGAUGACUUGAUCAAAGAUCUUCAUCCAAAGGUAAUGCUGGGGAUACCUUUGUUGGAAGGGACCAGCCCAGCUUCAUGCUUUCCCCGUAUUGCUGUUGGCUAUGACGCUGUGUGCUACAGUUACGUAUGGAGCGAGGUGUUUGCUGCUGAUCUAUUCACAACGAAAUUUAAAGAUGACUUGCUAAAUCAGCAUGCAGGGUUGAGGUUUAGAAAUAAGGUAUUGGCUCCAGGAGGCUCGAAAGAUCCUCUUGAGAUCAUAACUGACUACUUAGGAAGAGAACCAUCGCUGCAGCCUUUCAUUCAGAGCAGAACAAGGAACGCUUUGUGA
This 2088-nucleotide ribosomal RNA is filed under the name Triticum aestivum (bread wheat). RNAcentral describes it as "partial small subunit ribosomal RNA". The record is from RNAcentral. Lineage: Eukaryota; Viridiplantae; Streptophyta; Magnoliopsida; Poales; Poaceae.